Molecule: long non-coding RNA, 881 nt
Organism: Eucalyptus grandis
Lineage: Eukaryota; Viridiplantae; Streptophyta; Magnoliopsida; Myrtales; Myrtaceae
Exons: 2
Source: RefSeq, a predicted model, not a curated record
AUUAUUUUUUCUUCUUAUAUAAUCAGUUCUCGGGCUUUCUUCAUCUACAAUCAAUCCAUUCUCUGUAUUGCUGUUAGAAAUAUCGUCAAAACUUACACGACAUCGAACAUGAAACACGCGAUAGAAAUGUGAGAUGUUGUGGCAUCAAACUGGCUACCCUUGACUGCUCUCAAUCUAGGGGCCAUCAGACCCUGCAUGUCGUGCACCCACACGGAGAGACGGCUCUGCUAUCGGGCUAGGGCCGUGUGAAGCUCCCCGGUGGUUGCGAUCCCUGGCGGCUUAGCAACAGCGGUGACCGGUCGGGCGCUUCUCUCUCUCUCAGGUCCAUUGACCGUCGCUUAAGCAUGAUGACGGGGUCAUUGAACCACUUCUAACCGCGAGGGUCUUUGGAUCCUCAAUGGUGGCUAGGCGAAAGAGGCCAACCACUGCUAACCUGCGUUUUCAGAUCGAUAAAGAGAGGAAGGGAGGUGAGAGGAAGGUCGAACAUGGAUGGGUUUUUGAAGUGGACGCAGGCUCUUGCAUCAGCAUGGGGAGUCAUACUGAUUCUCGGUCUCAUCGGGUGUUGCCUCAGCACCAUCCCUCACCACCACGACGACAAAACCAGCGGUUGUGCUGGCUGCACUAGUGAUAUCGGUGUAUGAUGUGUGCUCAUUCUUCUUCUUCUUCUUGAAUUGUGAACAUACCGAGACCAUGGAGGCAUCCGUUGGUUAAAGGCCAUGAAAACACUUCCUUUUUGACCGUGUUAACAGAUGAAGGUUGUACAGUUGGUAGUCUUCAUCGUUUCUGUUUGAUUCUCAAUCUUAUAUUGUAUAUGGAUCUGUAAAUGAGCCUUGAUAUGCCUAGGUCAUGCUAUAAGUGUAUACAAAUUAAUUUGUGGUGCA